Long non-coding RNA from Spea bombifrons (plains spadefoot toad), 228 nucleotides. RefSeq lists it as uncharacterized. The transcript is spliced from 2 exons. The record is from RefSeq and is a predicted model, not a curated record. Lineage: Eukaryota; Metazoa; Chordata; Amphibia; Anura; Pelobatidae.
AAGAAUGCCUCAUUUAUUUUGGAUUGUAAUUUGUUUAAUUAUUGAUGAAUGCUGAUCUGUUUUGCAGGCUGAAGAAAAGGCAGAUGCCUUGAACAAGGAGUUACUGAUGACUAAACAGAAACUGAUUGAUGCAGAAGAGGAGAAGAGACGAUUGGAAGAAGAAUCUGCUCAGCUGAAGGAAAUGUGUCGCAGGGAGCUUGAUAAAGCAGAGUCAGAAAUAAAGAAAAA